Molecule: ribosomal RNA, 555 nt
Filed under: Colletotrichum gloeosporioides
Lineage: Eukaryota; Fungi; Ascomycota; Sordariomycetes; Glomerellales; Glomerellaceae
Description: eukaryotic LSU rRNA
Rfam family: 5.8S ribosomal RNA (bases 207-360)
Source: RNAcentral
AUUCUUCUCGCGACAACCUGCGGAGGGAUCAUUACUGAGUUUACGCUCUACAACCCUUUGUGAACAUACCUAUAACUGUUGCUUCGGCGGGUAGGGUCUCCGUGACCCUCCCGGCCUCCCGCCCCCGGGCGGGUCGGCGCCCGCCGGAGGAUAACCAAACUCUGAUUUAACGACGUUUCUUCUGAGUGGUACAAGCAAAUAAUCAAAACUUUUAACAACGGAUCUCUUGGUUCUGGCAUCGAUGAAGAACGCAGCGAAAUGCGAUAAGUAAUGUGAAUUGCAGAAUUCAGUGAAUCAUCGAAUCUUUGAACGCACAUUGCGCCCGCCAGCAUUCUGGCGGGCAUGCCUGUUCGAGCGUCAUUUCAACCCUCAAGCUCUGCUUGGUGUUGGGGCCCUACAGCUGAUGUAGGCCCUCAAAGGUAGUGGCGGACCCUCCCGGAGCCUCCUUUGCGUAGUAACUUUACGUCUCGCACUGGGAUCCGGAGGGACUCUUGCCGUAAAACCCCCAAUUCUCCAAAGGUGACCUCGGAUCAGGUAGGAAUACCCGCGAAUUAG